Molecule: ribosomal RNA, 258 nt
Filed under: uncultured bacterium
Lineage: Bacteria
Description: partial 16S ribosomal RNA
Rfam family: Bacterial small subunit ribosomal RNA
Source: RNAcentral
UACAGGGGGGGCAAGCGUUGUUCGGAAUUACUGGGCGUAAAGGGUUCGUAGGUGGCCAACUAAGUCAGACGUGAAAUCCCUCAGCUUAACUGGGGAACUGCGUCUGAUACUGGAUGGCUUGAGUGCAGGAGAGGAACGCGGAAUUCCAGGUGUAGCGGUGAAAUGCGUAGAUAUCUGGAGGAACACCGGUGGCGAAGGCGGCGUUCUGGACUGCAACUGACACUGAGGAACGAAAGCCAGGGGGAAGGCAAACACGGG